This 301-nucleotide ribosomal RNA is filed under the name uncultured bacterium. RNAcentral's name for it is "partial 16S ribosomal RNA". It matches the Rfam family "Bacterial small subunit ribosomal RNA", at positions 509 to 809 of the family's 1533-position model. The record is from RNAcentral.
CAGCAGCCGCGGGAAAACGUAGGUGGCAAGCGUUGUCCGGAAUUAUUGGGCGUAAAGGGCUCGCAGGCGGUUUCUUAAGUCUGAUGUGAAAGCCCCCGGCUCAACCGGGGAGGGUCAUUGGAAACUGGGAAACUUGAGUGCAGAAGAGGAGAGUGGAAUUCCACGUGUAGCGGUGAAAUGCGUAGAGAUGUGGAGGAACACCAGUGGCGAAGGCGACUCUCUGGUCUGUAACUGACGCUGAGGAGCGAAAGCGUGGGGAGCGAACAGGAUUAGAUACCCCUGUAGUCCCUGUCUCUUAUAU